Molecule: ribosomal RNA, 253 nt
Filed under: uncultured bacterium
Lineage: Bacteria
Description: partial 16S ribosomal RNA
Rfam family: Bacterial small subunit ribosomal RNA
Source: RNAcentral
UACGUAGGGUGCGAGCGUUAAUCAGAAUUACUGGGCGUAAAGCGUGCGUAGGUGGUUCGUUGUGUCUGUGGUGAAAGCCCCGGGCUUAACCUGGGAAUGGCCAUGGAAACUGGCGAGCUGGAGUCUGGCAGAGGGGGGUGGAAUUCCGCGUGUAGCAGUGAAAUGCGUAGAGAUGCGGAGGAACACCGAUGGCGAAGGCAGCCCCCUGGGCUAAGACUGACGCUGAGGCACGAAAGCGUGGGGAGCAAACAGG